Molecule: ribosomal RNA, 253 nt
Filed under: uncultured bacterium
Lineage: Bacteria
Description: partial 16S ribosomal RNA
Rfam family: Bacterial small subunit ribosomal RNA
Source: RNAcentral
GACAGAGGGUGCAAACGUUGUUCGGAAUUACUGGGCGUAAAGCGCAUGUAGGCGGCAACGCAAGUCGGGCGUGAAAUCCCACGGCUCAACUGGGCGGGGUCAGCGGAUACGGUGUGGCUCGAGCAAGCUAGGGGGCAAUGGAAUUCCCGGUGUAGUGGUGGAAUGCGUAGAUAUCGGGAGGAACACCAGUGGCGAAGGCGGUUGCCUGGAGCUUUGCUGACGCUGAGGCGCGAAAGCGUGGGGAGCGAGCCGG